CCUACGGGCGGCUGCAGUGGGGAAUCUUCCACAAUGGGGGCAACCCUGAUGGAGCAACGCCGCGUGCAGGAUGAAGGCCUUCGGGUUGUAAACUGCUUUUAUAAGUGAGGAAUAUGACGGUAACUUAUGAAUAAGGAUCGGCUAACUACGUGCCAGCAGCCGCGGUCAUACGUAGGAUCCGAGCAUUAUCCGGAGUGACUGGGCGUAAAGAGUUGCGUAGGCGGUUAGUUAAGUGAAUAGUGAAACCUGGUGGCUCAACCAUACAGACUAUUAUUCAAACUGGCUAACUCGAGAAUGGUAGAGGUAACUGGAAUUUCUCAAGUAGGGGUAAUAUCCGUAGAUAUGAGAAGGAACACCAAUGGCGUAGGCAGGUUACUGGACCAUUUCUGACGCUAAGGCACGAAAGCGUGGGGAGCGAACCGGCUUAGAUACCCCAGUAGUC
RNAcentral lists this ribosomal RNA (442 nucleotides) under uncultured bacterium. RNAcentral's name for it is "bacterial SSU rRNA". It matches the Rfam family "Bacterial small subunit ribosomal RNA", at positions 338 to 795 of the family's 1533-position model. The record is from RNAcentral.